AUCAGUCUGCAGCUCGAUACCGAGCAGAUCGUAAACACCAUAGAGAUAUUUCCGAAAGACCAUACACGUCCAGGAUCACGAUAGAAAACAGUUUCGAGCAUGGAGUUCCUACGCACCAGAUCAUUAGCAUAUCUCAUAGGUGCAGUAGAGUUUGCAGACAACAUCAGGCUAAAUAUUCUGGACACCUUGCAUCCUUUCAAACCAUCCAAUUCAUCUUCCUGGAGCCAACUUGAAGGAAA
Molecule: long non-coding RNA, 239 nt
Filed under: Coccomyxa subellipsoidea
Lineage: Eukaryota; Viridiplantae; Chlorophyta; Trebouxiophyceae; Coccomyxaceae
Description: long non-coding RNA (CSUB_LNC000481)
Source: RNAcentral